This is a long non-coding RNA of Trachemys scripta elegans, 2537 nucleotides long. RefSeq lists it as uncharacterized. The record is from RefSeq and is a predicted model, not a curated record. The transcript is spliced from 3 exons. Lineage: Eukaryota; Metazoa; Chordata; Testudines; Emydidae.
CCCUCCCCGGCUGCUGAGCGCGCUGUUCCGCAGCACUCUGUUCUGAGCGGCACGCUGGAGGGCUGAAGUACUGCAGACUCUCCUGAUGAGGGCAACAGCUGAUGGGGUGCCAGGAAAGAGUGCAGGAUCACACUCGGUCGACAGGAGGCGCUCAUGAGAGAUUGGGAAUCACCAGUGCAAGACAUCCUUGGGGCAAUGGAACAUAUGGCUCUUCUGGGGUGGCUCCAGCCCUGGAUAGCCCUGAACUUAGUAGUGGGUUCAGCUUAUGUGGAGAGUGCAAAAACCCUGGUUCUGCCCCACCAGAUCCAAACCUGGCACCUUUGAUCUACCUGGAGAUUUCACCCUGGAAGAGGGUUUCCAUUCCCAACCAGCCUUUGGGGAAGAAAAUGUUCACACACAAAGCAGCGUGGCUGACCAAGGAGGGUAUGAUCUCCCUGGGCUGGGUCAGAAUGAAUCCUAGAAUAUUAGGGUUGGAAGGGACCUCAGGAGGUCAUCUAGUCCAACCCCCUGCUCCAAGCAGGACCAAUGGUACCAAGCCCAGUCUUCUCUCCUGAAAUAUAUCGCAUACCAACAAGUACAUUAAAGGUAUUAAAGUUGCACAAUAAAGCACUCAGAUGUUAAGAAAUGUGAGAAUUAGGGUUGCCUGGGCAAUUUUAAUUAAACUUUCUUGUGUGUAGCUGUUACAGUCUUUAAUGACAUGAUCACACACACCUUUUUUUGUACAGGAGCCUGCCUUAUUCAAUGUAUAGGAUUGACAAUGCUUGCUGAGUGGGUAGCUAUUCUGUAUUUCUUUUUAUCUCUAUCAUUCAGUGUGUUGCCCUGAACUGUAUGUCCUGCACACCCUCCAAACUCUUCUCUGAAUACAGAAUCGUUUCCCCUAUAGUGUUUAUCACUGUGACAUGUGAGUGCUUCACAAGCCUGAAUUAGCUUCUCCUCACAGCUCACCAGCAAUGCAUGAGAAUAUUAUUGUCUCCGUUUUACAGCUGGGGGGAGACACAAAUAGACUGGCCUGCUGCUACACAUUGAGUUGGUGGCAGAUUAGAAAUUGGGACCUCCUGCUUCCCAACUCUGUACUUAUUCCAUUGUAGCACACUGCUGGAGGGGCUGAGCCGUUAUGGUCCCCAUAGAAUUCAGCUGUGAGCACUCAGCACUUCUGCAAACCAGGCCCCAGCUGUCUCUCACUGUGCACCCAGAAAAUGGGAAUCUCACAGUUUGUGGCCACCUGCCAGAAUUUUGGUUUAGAUGGCCUCCAGUUGUCUCAGAGACUGGCAGAGACAGCUCCGGACUGAGCAAGUUACCUGCUAUGUAAGUUUUAAUAUGUCAGGAACAUGCCUUUUUAUAAGCAAAACAACCUCUUGGCUUGAUUUUAAUAAUGCUGUUUCCAUUAUUAUAAUAAUUAUAAUCCACAACACUACCCCCUCUUCUGCUCGGCCCAGACAUCCUAAUCCCUUUCUCUGGUGUCUAUUAGUUUGGUCUGGGACGGGAAGGGCUAGAUGCACUCUGCGCUCUAUUAGUUGAUGGGCUGGCACAUGUGGCCUGUGCAGCUAGCCCUGCCCCAGGCAGAAGCAGGCAUGUGCGUGCAUGCUGGCCAUUUGGGCUCCUGCUCUGCAGCAGGUGGAGAAGAGGGAUGUUGAUGGGCUUCAAGCUGGUGCUGGGCAUCUCUGUGCUGCUGUUGGCAGAGGCCAUGGCUGCCACGCACGUCCAGCAGAGAUGCAUUGGGAAAGUGAGUGUCACAUCUCCCACCCUGCGGAGGGGUCUGGGAAAGGAGGAUGCCCCACCCUGGCACCAAUUGUAUCAGUUCCUUUAUGUUACUGUCCAAAGUAAUAUAAGGGACCUUAUCUUGGGUGUCUAUUCAGUUAGCAUUGAUUAGCUAAUUACAUACAGAAUUUUCCCAGUUAGCCAAAUAGUAGGGACAUGGAUUUUAUUGGGAGUUUGGGUAAUUGAGAGGCAGCAGCGCAGGGAGCUCUCUGCAUCUUGGCUGUCAUGGCUCCACACACUGCCGGGGGCUCCCUGUGCUGCUGUGGGAGCCAUUCAGCAGCAGGGGGGCAUCCCUGGUGGCUGGGGGCUCUGCCUAUUACCUGAACUCUGCAUCCAAAUCCUUUCAUUGGCCUGCCAAGGGAUGUGGAUGAUGCCGAGGAGUGAGACUAGAACUGCUGAGCCCUGGCUGUCAUUAGCUGUAUUAGGGUGGACUAGAGGCCCCAGUCAGGCUUGGGGCCCCAUUGUACAAGGCGCUGUAUGAGAACCAGUAGCAAGGAGCUUCCAUUCCAUGGGGUGAGACAGGCAGGCACCAGGUGCUCCAUGGGACACUGGACAGACUGCAGGCACUUGUCUCCCACCCCUCAGGAGCCACAGAGAUUUUGGGGGAGGGGUGGAAGAAGAGGGAGCAACCCUGACUCUUACUCCAUGUGCUUUGGAUCCCCCUGUCAGCACCAAGCUGCCAAGUACCCACUCCUCCAUGCCUUGCUUUAAUAUGCAUCUCGUCCUUCAAACCCUAAUCUUCCCACCAUUCGUCUGACUUCCCUCCCAACACAUAUUUA